Molecule: ribosomal RNA, 520 nt
Filed under: uncultured bacterium
Lineage: Bacteria
Description: bacterial SSU rRNA
Rfam family: Bacterial small subunit ribosomal RNA
Source: RNAcentral
UUUGAUCCUGGCUCAGAAUGAACGUUGGCGGCAUGGAUUAGGCAUGCAAGUCGAGCGAGAAAUUUUAGUUUGAAGCUUCGGUUGAUUUCUAAAAUGGACAGCGGCGCAUGGGAGAGUAACGCGUAGUUAUCUACCCCCGAGUUCGGGAUAGCUGUGGGAAACUGCAGGUAAUACCGAAUAACAUCUCCGGAUCAAAGGUGUGAUUCCGCUUGGGGAGGAGACUGCGUACUACUAGCUUGUUGGUGGGGUAAUGGCCUACCAAGGCUUUGAUGGUUAGCGGGCGUGAGAGCGUGGCCCGUCUCACUGGGACUGAAACACUGCCCAGACACCUACGGGUGGCUGCAGUCGAGAAUCUUCGGCAAUGGACGAAAGCCUGACCGAGCGAUGCCGCGUGCGGGAUGAAGGCCUUCGGGUUGUAAACCGCUGUCAGUAGGGAGGAAGGGUCCGUGAAGAGCGGAUCUUGACCUAUCUUCAGAGGAAGUCCGGGCUAAGUUCGUGCCAGCAGCCGCGGUAAUAAGGG